Long non-coding RNA from Lotus japonicus, 3868 nucleotides. RefSeq lists it as uncharacterized. The record is from RefSeq and is a predicted model, not a curated record. The transcript has 3 exons. NCBI's taxonomy places the organism in Eukaryota, Viridiplantae, Streptophyta, Magnoliopsida, Fabales, Fabaceae.
GGAAAGUUUGACAUGUGUCACUAGUGGAACCAACCCCGAUUUUACGCCACGUUAGCAGAAUAAUUUAAAAAAAAUCUAAAAGAAAUUUGUAAUACUAUAUUUAGCAACUUCCAUCUUCACGUUGGCACGUGGACCUGAACACAAGUGAUGAUGUGAAUAUGUGAUAUCUUCCCUAGCGUGGUCCACAGCCUGUAAAUGGAGGAAAAUUGAAAAAAGAGAGAGUUAAAGAUUGGCUAAUUUAAACCUAAGUGUAGGUAAUUAAUGAUAGCCUAAAACCUUCCUUGCCACACCAAUGACCAAUGAGCAAGCUUUAUUUGAAUUUUUCUGCUUCCAAUCUCUAUCUUCAAGAUUUUUUUUAUUUUUAUAAGAAUUCGUAACUGCUGCAUUAAAUAUUGUUGAUUAUUUUUUAAAUUCCUCAUUAUGGAUUUACCCAAACCUCCCACAACAGCCAAUUAACGGAGAGAGAAAAUAGAGAAAACAACACGACAAAUUAUCAGGGCAGCUUUGCGUGUUUUCUUUAACUGCUGCCUGGUGCCUGCAACCAUUAACUUUACGUGUUUAUCAAAACUAACAAACCUUGCUUUUCUCUUCCAUUUGCAGCCCUAUCAAUUGCAAACCAUGAUGCCUCCCUAUAGUCUGCUACUCAAGAUGAUUUUAAUUUGAAAUUUGAAAUUUGAAAUUAGUGCAUGCAAACCUUCUUGAACGAUCUAUAAAUUGGGAUGAAUGGAAUCUAAGCAGUUGUUGUGCGCAUCUGGAUUCAGACUUCGGAGGAUGGCUGGCCGGAUUUAUUGAAGGCAGAGUUGGAGGGGCGAUGACGGUGGUGGAAGGGGCUGCUCGGAGUUUGGAGAUGGUGCCUGAAUCGAGAGAUUAGAUGUUUCAUCUAACCGUGGAGCUUUCUUAAGCAGAGGACAUCGGUUCAUGGAAGGGAGGAUUUUGGUGAGUUUGAUGAAGCGUGUGCUCUACUUUCCAUCUCUUUGCUUUCAAGUUUCAAGCAAGGCAGUGGCUUACUGAUCUGGCAAAUGGAGGUUACUUCUGGCAUGUGCCGAGGUCGCAAACAGUAUCUCCUCUCACUCAUGGAGGUAUGAAGGAAUUUUGCCUGCUGGGCAUUUGCUUCAAUUGAUCUAUUGAUCUAUAUGCUCCAAAAGGAUAUCUCAAAUGGUUUCUUUUCUCAAACAAUUCCUGACUUAUAUGAAAUUACAUAAUACAUUUUUCCUUUACUUGAUUAUGUUAUCGGUUUUUUUUUUUGUUGUUGUUUGAGGUCCAAGUCCAUUGGAUGUUGGUAACAAUUAAAAAAGACAGAGGUGUAAGAAGAGUUGUUGGACUUGGAAGGGUUAUGUGAGGAAAGGUGGAGUUUGUACCAUGAAUAAAGAUGAUUUAGUUAACCAAAUAACCUACUUAGAUGGUGGAGUUUGUUUAUGGAAUUUAAUAUGGUUGAGAACUAAAUAUAGGAGCUACAAAUUUCAUUUUGUUGAAUGAAGGUUCUGAAACAUUAGCAUUUAAACAAUACAUCUGAUUUAUCUACCAGUUGUUUUCUUCUAUUUGCAACUCUAUUUUGUCCUCAACUCUUCUAAUUUGUUUAGUUUUCAUUUUUACAGGGCUUUCCGUGUGGUAAGUUUCAUCAUGAUGCAAUCUUUUUCUUUCGGGCUUUGAUUUUUCUCCUCUCGGUAAUCAAAGAAAUCUUUGCUUUUAACCAAAUUCACCAAGAUUUUUUGUUUUAAAAUAGACGCCUUUUUUCUUCGUCUCCUCGAUUUACAAUACGGAGUUUCAGGAUCUCAUAUUUCUUUUAGGACUAUAUAAAUGACAUUUUCUUUCUUUCUUUUAGCUGCACUCUUAUAAUGUCAUCAAUACAUUUUUUUGUUGAAACUCAUUGUCAAGAGCAGGAGAAUACGAUCUUGAAUUUUACAUGUCAUGGGAAGGAGAAUAUGAAUAUGAGGGGCCUGGAUAUCUAGGAGAAUAUUUGAUUUGUUAGGAUUGAUAGUUUAAUAUUUUGCUUACUCUAUUUUAAUUUGUAGAAAUGCUUUUAAGGUUUUGGGUAUUUAAAUAUUUUAAAUGCUUUUUGUUGUGGUAGACUCUAAUUUGUCAUUGACACAUUUUGAUAUAAUUUUAGCUAAUAUUACGAUAUUAAAGUUCUUUUUAUUGAUGUUCUUGGUUAUCUUUUAGAAAUGUCCAUUAAGAUAUUAACUUUUUUAUUUUGUUAAAAGCUCUAACCUUUUUGAGUUGUUUUAAUCAUAGGAAUAUAUAAAAGUAUGUAGAACUCCAAUAAUAAGGUGUAGGUGAAGCUAUUUGUUUUAGAUAGAGAAAAAUUUGGUGUGUUCUCUUCACGAGAUGAAUAUAUACUAUUUAGAAUUUUAGAUACAUUUUGAGGACCAAGUGAUGUUAUUAAUCUUUUAAUUGUACAAAUUGCUACUAAAUAUUUAUGGACAACAUGUGAAUCAUUUGCUAUAGUGUUACAUCAGUCUUUUGAGGCACUUAAAAGGAUUUAAGUUCUAUUCACUUCUCUUCUCUUUUUCGGUUUGUUGUGAUCUUCAUUGUCAUUUCUUGAUUUGUUUAGAUAAAGAGGUCUAGAAAUAAGUGCUUAGACAAAUCUAUUACUUAUGAACAAAGGCAUAUGCAAGUUUUGACUACAAACACUCUUCUAUCUAUGACUUCAUGGUAGUUGAGUUUUUAUAAGUUUCUAUAUGGUUCACUUUAGGAAUCAUGGAUCUCUGCUAUGUUACAAAAAAUGAUGUGGCUAAAUGAAAAGGUGCUAUGGGUGGUUUGUAUUAGUUUUGUUGCUAAUCCAUUUUUGUGAAAGUUAUCUAGAGUUGCUCUGUUAAAUGGUGGAUGAUAGCCAUCCAUUUUAUUCAAUGAAUGUGUGUAUUUCAAAUCACUUAUGGAUUUACCUGCAUUUUAUCUAUUCUAUGCAUGGGUUGCAAAUUUGUUACUUGGUUUCAUUCAAUGAUGAUUUUGAUAGAUAUGAAUUUUGGAAUUAUAUUCACAAAAAUAGUAAAUGGGGCUGAAUGUGUGAGUUGUCAUUCUCGCACGAUUCUAUUCUUAUCUUAAGACUCAAUUUUGCUUAAUAGCAUACUUUGAUGAGUUUCUUUAUUUUCAGGACUAAAUGAGACCACUUGCUCAUAAUCAAGUGUGAUCUUCUAAAAUUUGGGACAGCUUGACAUAAAAUUAAUGGCCGAGUUGCCUUUUAACAUGUACAGGCCUUUUCUAAGCAUUGAAGUGGAACUGAUGGAAGUGGUAUGAUAACACAAUGUGAAAUCAGAAGUAUAAUAUAAUUGGUGCAGGAGUCAUGUGUGAUAUGUCAAUUCGAUGUGUUUGUAGAAGUUUUAUAAUGGUGUGGGACUUAACAAACGAUCUUCAGAACAAAUGGGAAUGAUGACAAUGUCGCAGUAUAAGGUGCAAAGGAGAUAGAGCAGAAAUAGAUUGAUGGGCAACUAGGGAUUCUGCUAUUUGAUUCCCAACAAGCGAAUAUUGUGCUUUGUGAUGGAAGAAUUGAAAGUGGAGUUGGAGAGAAUAGCAGGUUAUGAAACACAAUACGGUGAUAUCCAAGAAAAAUUUGAUAACAUGAAGAGUUACUUAGAGACUAUAACAGUGCAGCUUGAUGAUUUCUUUGAUGAAAUAGUAGAAGGAAUGAAGAAGUUUCUGGUCAUGUGCUAUCAUAGGUAGAAAAAAAUUUAGAUAUAGAGAAAAGGAACUAGAAAAAAAAUGUUAAAAAAAGCACUGUCAUCUUGGUUAACGCUUUGGGUCUCAAAUUGUACAGGCUACAAGAGUUAGGCUAGAUACUAUUUUGGUGCAAAGUACUGCAAAAUCUGUGGGAUUCUUGAUUAUAGGCAUGUAUAUAAAUUAUAAUUUUAGAGACAAGUAUAAUUUUCAAUUA